This is a long non-coding RNA of Oxyura jamaicensis (ruddy duck), 2185 nucleotides long. RefSeq lists it as uncharacterized. The transcript has 3 exons. The record is from RefSeq and is a predicted model, not a curated record. NCBI's taxonomy places the organism in Eukaryota, Metazoa, Chordata, Aves, Anseriformes, Anatidae.
UUCGGAUGCCAGGCACAUUCAGCGUGUGUGUGCGCGCGUGUGUCACCGUGGUAUAUAUACUCACACAGUCCGUCUCGGUUCUCCUAAAUUACAUGACAGCUUGCAAUGGGCAGGCUGCUACCGGUCUGCUUCCAGGACCGACCUCAAAACGGUUUCUCUCGGAAGGGAGCUGGGAGGAUCUGCACAGUGCCUAGGAAAGGCUUUUUCAGGAGCAGCUGCCCCAGCUUGAGCAAGGGGAAGGAGUCAGGGCGGCCACCCGGUCGGGCUGGCACGUGGUGGUGAGGAUUUCAUCCGCGUGCGAGGACGCAGGGCAGCGGGAAGGUAUCUCCCCUCCCGGAAGCGCAGUCAACCAAUGCUCGGUCCCGGCACCAGCAGUCCCUCGUUCUGCAUCAGUGUUCUUUGUAACAAACUGCAAAGGGUCAGAUGCAGGUGGAGAAGCCUCAUUACACCUUAAAGGAAGCAAUGAGCAGCUUGGCCAAGGUCAAAGAACACAACCUUGUUCAAAGCUAGAGUCCUUGAACCUCAAACCCAAGUGCAUCUCACUGCCUCCCAGGUUACAAAUGGGGAGCUCAUGUAUCCAGCCGAAAAGUGCAGUGUUUUCUGGAAUGCAGCAAGGUGGCUGGUUGCCCAUGUACCCUGCAGAGCAGAGGUAUGUGAUGGCUUGAUGCCUAAUGGGUGCUAUAUUUAAUAGACACUAUGGGAUGAGGGCUCAGUCCUCAUGAUAUAGGCAAUCUCAUGACUGUCAUGCUGGGAGCUGGAGGAGAGCUCAGAGGCCGUUAGAAUAUGGCAUGCCAGGGGCUCCUGCAGAUGGGAGCAUUAAUACAGGGUUAAAAUCCUGAUACAUUUUAAAUCAAGGGGAGAAAUAUCACUUGACUCUUCCCUUACCCCCAGCGGACUCAGCCUGAUACUUAUUAAAUACUUAUUAUGUGAUUGCAGUAUAUGUUGCUGACUUAAAGGCCUUCUGUUAUCUGAUUUACAUGAUUGAGCCAUUCAUUCUUCCCUUUUCCACCUGUUCCCUUGCACUCCAGAGCACCAGUAAAUAGCCUGCAAGCCUCACUGGAGGGAUGGCUGCAGCCCAUGGCAAAACAGCCCCGUGCCUGUAAGCGGCCUGAACGUGCUCAGUAGCCUGCAGUGAAACCUGGGCCUGAGGAGCCCCACUCCUCCUGAAGCCAAAGUUCAACGUAAUGGAAAACUUUGCUAAGGUGUGCUGACAAAGGAAUGCUGUCCCCGCACCUUGGCUGUGCCUCAGGAGGCACUGAGGUCCGAUGGGCAGCGGCACAGUCUCUCGCACAAAGCAGCAAGGGGGCUGGAAAGCACCUUUUACAGUCCAAACGGAUGUUUCCCCAGGCUCAUAAAAUACACAGUUUAAGUAGUAGCUGUAUUUCUGAGGCUGGUCCCACACCUGCAACAACGUUGUAAAUGGUGCUGGGAUAUAUGGCUUUAAGACUCCUUGUAAAACGCAAGAUCAACACAAGAUUUACACAGUUUUAUGGAAUUGUUUUAUAAGCUAUUUUGACAAUGAAUCCUGCUAUCAAAAUCACCUCUGGUGCUAAUCACGGAGGAAGCAUUUAGCAGGAACCAACAAAGAUUAGUUUAAACCCCUUUCCUACCGAGCCGUGGGCUGUGCAGUGCAUCUCCCAAGGUCUGGGGCAUGGCUCACACAGCAGCACGUGUGGGGCAGUGGGACCAGGCUUCAAACUGGGGGUGGACACAUCUUUGGGUGCCUCGCCAUGCUCUGGUGGGGAUGAGGACUGAACAAGGCCUGCAGGAGGUGAAACCAGAGCUCCCCUGCCUCCCAUCCUCUCCUGGCCAGGGGUGGAUCUGGGCCUCCAGCAGGUCCUAACAGCCCCUGGGGACACAGCUGGGGCACGGCAAACCAGUGGUGGGACCUGAGCACAGCAUCCCCCAGCACCCAGCCCUCUGUGGUCCUUCUUGCCCACCGCUGGGUCACACAGGAGAGGAAGGUCUGCAGCGAGAGGAUGAACCAGCUUGAAAGCCCAAAUCAACACUCUUGCCUUGCAUUGCCACAGACUCUGCCCCACGCCAAGUGCUGGAUGCGCCGAGGGGAAGUUUGUGGGUCUGGCUGGCCAGAUGUCCCUGGCAAGGAAGCCACGGGCAGUGAGGCUUUCAUUACAUGGCUGCCACAAGCCACAGAGCAACAAGAGGCUCACCACUCCCAGGUUAG